Molecule: unclassified non-coding RNA, 285 nt
Filed under: plant metagenome
Description: partial contains small subunit ribosomal RNA, internal transcribed spacer 1, and 5.8S ribosomal RNA
Rfam family: Eukaryotic small subunit ribosomal RNA (bases 1-54)
Source: RNAcentral
GGAAGGAAAAGUCGUAACAAGGUUUCCGUAGGUGAACCUGCGGAAGGAUCAUUAUUGUAUAACCGAGGUGCGAGGGCUGUCGCUGACCCGAAAGGUCGUGCACGCCCGAGUGCCCUCACACACAUCCAUCUCACCCCUAUGUGCACCACCGCGUGGGUCCCCCUUUGGCUUGUUCGGAGGGGGGCUUACGUUUUCACACAAACUUUGUAUGCAGUGUAGAAUGUAUUUUUUGUUUUUGCGAUCACGCAAUCAAUACAACUUUCAACAACGGAUCUCUUGGCUCUC